This 275-nucleotide long non-coding RNA is filed under the name Chlamydomonas reinhardtii. Its description in RNAcentral is "long non-coding RNA (CREI_LNC001361)". Lineage: Eukaryota; Viridiplantae; Chlorophyta; Chlorophyceae; Chlamydomonadales; Chlamydomonadaceae. The record is from RNAcentral.
UGCGUCGCGGCCUGCUGAUAGUUCACCGCCGCUACCUCCACGGCCACCGCCGCCGCCGCCAUCGCCUUCCCCACCGUCGCCAUCGCCUCCCUCGCCCUCACCUCCCUCGCCCUCACCUCCCUCGCCUUCACCUCCCUCGCCCCGACCUCCCUCGCCCCGACCUCCCUCGCCCUCACCUCCCUCGCCUUCACCUCCCUCGCCCCGACCUCCCUCGCCCCGACCACCCUCGCCGCCGCCUCCCUCGCCCCCGCCUCCCUCGCCCCCGCCUCCCUCGC